CGAGCCGGUCCAGGCAAUCGCGCGUUCGUCAUCGGCGAACGUGAGGAAAGUCCGGGCUCCACAGGACAGGGCGCCAGGUAACCCCUGGGGGGCGUGAGCCCACGGAAAGUGCAGCAGAGAGCAGACCGCCGAUCCGAAGGGCGAGGCAAGGGUGAAAAGGUGCGGUAAGAGCGCACCGCGAGCGUUGGCAACAAACUCGGCUAUGCAAA
RNAcentral lists this RNase P RNA (209 nucleotides) under Gammaproteobacteria bacterium. RNAcentral's name for it is "partial RNase P RNA component class A". It matches the Rfam family "Bacterial RNase P class A", at positions 1 to 210 of the family's 367-position model. From Rfam's summary of the family: Ribonuclease P (RNase P) is a ubiquitous endoribonuclease, found in archaea, bacteria and eukarya as well as chloroplasts and mitochondria. Its best characterised activity is the generation of mature 5'-ends of tRNAs by cleaving the 5'-leader elements of precursor-tRNAs. The record is from RNAcentral. Lineage: Bacteria; Pseudomonadati; Pseudomonadota; Gammaproteobacteria.